UACGGAGGAUGCGAGCGUUAUCCGGAUUUAUUGGGUUUAAAGGGUGCGUAGGCGGACGCUUAAGUCAGCGGUAAAAUUGCGGGGCUCAACCUCGUCGAGCCGUUGAAACUGGGUGUCUUGAGUGGGCGAGAAGUACGCGGAAUGCGUGGUGUAGCGGUGAAAUGCAUAGAUAUCACGCAGAACUCCGAUUGCGAAGGCAGCAUACCGGCGCCCAACUGACGCUGAAGCACGAAGGCGUGGGUAUCGAACAGG
Molecule: ribosomal RNA, 252 nt
Filed under: uncultured bacterium
Lineage: Bacteria
Description: partial 16S ribosomal RNA
Rfam family: Bacterial small subunit ribosomal RNA
Source: RNAcentral